GACGAAGGGUGCGGGUGUUAUUCGUUUUGAUUGGGUGUAAAGGGUACGUAGGCGGUUUCAGUGACCAAACUACAGUCUGGCUAAAACGGCGGAGAGUUCCUACGCCGAAGCCGAUCGAGUUAAGCUGAUCCUCGAGUUGAAGAGAAGUCGGAGCAAACUUGUGUGUUAGGUGUAAAAAACCUCAGAAACACGACUGAACGCUAACUAGCGAAGGCAUCCCUCUAGUUUUUUCAACUGACGCUAAAGUACGGAAGUCUAGGGAGCAAACGGG
Molecule: ribosomal RNA, 271 nt
Filed under: uncultured bacterium
Lineage: Bacteria
Description: partial 16S ribosomal RNA
Rfam family: Bacterial small subunit ribosomal RNA
Source: RNAcentral